Phrynosoma platyrhinos (Desert horned lizard) is the source of this 72-nucleotide non-coding RNA. NCBI's taxonomy places the organism in Eukaryota, Metazoa, Chordata, Lepidosauria, Squamata, Phrynosomatidae. The record is from the annotation of a GenBank genome assembly.
GGAGGUAUGGAGCAGUGGUUUUAAUCCUGGACUACAACUCUGGAGACCAGGGUUCAAAUCCCAGCUUGGCCA